UACGUAGGGGGCAAGCGCUAUCCGGAUUUACUGGGUGUAAAGGGAGCGUAGACGGUUAUGCAAGCCAGGAGUGAAAGCCCGGGGCCCAACCCCGGGACUGCUCUUGGAACUGCGUGGCUGGAGUGCAGGAGGGGCAGGCGGAAUUCCUGGUGUAGCGGUGAAAUGCGUAGAUAUCAGGAGGAACACCGGUGGCGAAGGCGGCCUGCUGGACUGCAACUGACGUUGAGGCCCGAAAGCGUGGGGAGCAAACAGG
This 253-nucleotide ribosomal RNA is filed under the name uncultured bacterium. RNAcentral describes it as "partial 16S ribosomal RNA". It matches the Rfam family "Bacterial small subunit ribosomal RNA", at positions 524 to 776 of the family's 1533-position model. The record is from RNAcentral.